AAGGACUGCCAAUCCCACAGCUUUUAUUGUGGCUGUUUCCGUCCCCCUCCUACCGAUUCAAAGCCCUCCGCGUGGAAGCCUCUCGAAUCCCCUCUCCCUUCAAAAGCUCAUCCCAAUCCUUCAGAAAGCAAAGCAAAGAAUAAAGACAAAUUCUGCUGGAAGCAAAGCCAAUUUCCGAACCAAGACCUCACAACUCCAACCCGGAGAUUCCCCUUCUGGUCCUCUCUCUUCCCCUUUCUACAAUCAACCUUUUAACAAGCUCUCAAUCAGGAUGUAAGAGAGAGAUAGAGAGAGAGAAGAGAGAGAGAGAGAGGAGGGAGAGAGAGAGAGG
This 331-nucleotide long non-coding RNA is filed under the name Phoenix dactylifera (date palm). Its description in RNAcentral is "long non-coding RNA (PDAC_LNC015310)". Lineage: Eukaryota; Viridiplantae; Streptophyta; Magnoliopsida; Arecales; Arecaceae. The record is from RNAcentral.